GCGGCGGUAGCUCAGCCUGGUUAGAGCGCUCGGGGGCGGAGCCCCGCGUAAGGCUCAUAACCGGGAAGUCCCGGGUUCAAAUCCCGGCCGCCGCA
Molecule: non-coding RNA, 95 nt
Organism: Pyrobaculum sp. OCT_11
Lineage: Archaea; Thermoproteati; Thermoproteota; Thermoprotei; Thermoproteales; Thermoproteaceae
Source: Rfam